CCGGUAGGUACUCGAGUGGCGAACGGGUGAGUAACGCGUGGGUGAUCUGCCCUGCACUCUGGGAUAAGCCUGGGAAACUGGGUCUAAUACCGGAUAGGACCAUGCUUUAGUGUGUGUGGUGGAAAGUUUUUCGGUGUAGGAUGAGCCCGCGGCCUAUCAGCUUGUUGGUGGGGUAAUGGCCUACCAAGGCGGCGACGGGUAGCCGGACUGAGAGGUUGGUCGGCCACAUUGGGACUGAGAUACGGCCCAG
RNAcentral lists this ribosomal RNA (250 nucleotides) under uncultured Actinomycetales bacterium. Its description in RNAcentral is "partial 16S ribosomal RNA". It matches the Rfam family "Bacterial small subunit ribosomal RNA", at positions 80 to 334 of the family's 1533-position model. The record is from RNAcentral. Lineage: Bacteria; Bacillati; Actinomycetota; Actinomycetes; Actinomycetales.